This 802-nucleotide ribosomal RNA is filed under the name Salmonella enterica subsp. enterica serovar Bovismorbificans. RNAcentral describes it as "partial 23S ribosomal RNA". It matches the Rfam family "Bacterial large subunit ribosomal RNA", at positions 502 to 1303 of the family's 2925-position model. Lineage: Bacteria; Pseudomonadati; Pseudomonadota; Gammaproteobacteria; Enterobacterales; Enterobacteriaceae. The record is from RNAcentral.
CGUGAGGGAAAGGCGAAAAGAACCCCGGCGAGGGGAGUGAAAAAGAACCUGAAACCGUGUACGUACAAGCAGUGGGAGCACCCUUUGGGGUGUGACUGCGUACCUUUUGUAUAAUGGGUCAGCGACUUAUAUUCUGUAGCAAGGUUAACCGAAUAGGGGAGCCGGAGGGAAACCGAGUCUUAAUUGGGCGUUAAGUUGCAGGGUAUAGACCCGAAACCCGGUGAUCUAGCCAUGGGCAGGUUGAAGGUUGGGUAACACUAACUGGAGGACCGAACCGACUAAUGUUGAAAAAUUAGCGGAUGACCUGUGGCUGGGGGUGAAAGGCCAAUCAAACCGGGAGAUAGCUGGUUCUCCCCGAAAGCUAUUUAGGUAGCGCCUCGUGAAUUCAUCUCCGGGGGUAGAGCACUGUUUCGGCUAGGGGGCCAUCCCGGCUUACCAACCCGAUGCAAACUGCGAAUACCGGAGAAUGUUAUCACGGGAGACACACGGCGGGUGCUAACGUCCGUCGUGAAGAGGGAAACAACCCAGACCGCCAGCUAAGGUCCCAAAGUCAUGGUUAAGUGGGAAACGAUGUGGGAAGGCCCAGACAGCCAGGAUGUUGGCUUAGAAGCAGCCAUCAUUUAAAGAAAGCGUAAUAGCUCACUGGUCGAGUCGGCCUGCGCGGAAGAUGUAACGGGGCUAAACCAUGCACCGAAGCUGCGGCAGCGACGUUUAUGCGUUGUUGGGUAGGGGAGCGUUCUGUAAGCCUGCGAAGGUGGCCUGUGAGGGUUGCUGGAGGUAUCAGAAGUGCGAAUGCUGACAU